Molecule: ribosomal RNA, 501 nt
Filed under: uncultured Glomus
Lineage: Eukaryota; Fungi; Glomeromycota; Glomeromycetes; Glomerales; Glomeraceae
Description: SSU rRNA
Rfam family: Eukaryotic small subunit ribosomal RNA
Source: RNAcentral
AGCAGCCGCGGUAAUUCCAGCUCCAAUAGCGUAUAUUAAAGUUGUUGCAGUUAAAAAGCUCGUAGUUGAACUUCGGGAUCAAUGGAUUGGUCAUGCCGAUGGUAUGUACUGGUCAUAUUGGUUCUCACCUUCUAAGGAACCAUGAUGUCAUCCACUUGGUGUUGUGGGGAAUUAGGACUGUUACCUUGAAAAAUUAGAGUGUUUAAAGCAGGCUAACGCUUGAAUACAUUAGCAUGGAAUAAUGAAAUAGGACAUCGCAUUCUAUUUUGUUGGUUUCUAGGAUCGAUGUAAUGAUUAAUAGGGAUAGUUGGGGGCAUUAGUAUUCAAUUGUCAGAGGUGAAAUUCUUGGAUUUAUUGAAGACUAACUACUGCGAAAGCAUUUGCCAAGGAUGUUUUCAUUAAUCAAGAACGAAAGUUAGGGGAUCGAAGACGAUCAGAUACCGUCGUAGUCUUAACCAUAAACUAUGCCGACUAGGGAUCGGAUGAUGUUAAUUUUUAAUU